UUAUUAUAUACUUACUAUAUUUUAUAUUUAAACAUAUUUUUUAAUUAAAGUAAUUUUUUUAUUUAUUGUUUAUGUAUUUAUUAGAUUAAAUAAUUUUAGUAAUAGUAUAUUAGUACAGUGUUGGGUUGUUUAGUAUAAAUUUUAAUUAUAAGAAAAGUAGAUUUAAUUUGUUGUACCUUUUGUAUCAGGGUUUAUUAAUAUUUAAAUAUGAAUUAUAUUUAUCCCGAAUUUGGUAGGGCUAAAUUUAUAUGAAAUUCUUUGUUUCAAAAAGGUUUUUAAUUUAAUUUUAGUAAUGAAAUAUUAAACGGUACCAAAUAUAUCUGGUUUUUCAAGAUUUAAAUUUAAUUUAUUUAUUUUUAUUACAUUAUUUUUAAUAUAAAAUUAGUUGUAUUUAAAUAAAACAUUUUUUGGGGAUAAGCUCAGAAAAUAUUUUAUAAUCAUGUUGGUUUUUAAAAAUUAAUAGGAUUAGAAAUUUCCAUUUUUAAGUAAAAUGUUAUAAUUAAUUUUUUUAGAAAAUUAACUUUUUUUGUAUUUAAGUUUUUAUUGAAAUAUAGAUUUUAAUAAUAUUUUUUUUGUAAUAAUGAUAAAAUUAGUAUUAUUUAUUUUAAACUUAAAAUUUGUUUAAAGAUUAAAAUAAGGAAUUCAGCAAUAUUACACUCGCCUGUUUAUCAAAAACAUGUCUUUUUGUUUAUAAUAUAAAGUCUGGUCUGCCCACUGAAAUUUUUAAAGGGCCGCAGUAUUUUGACUGUGCAAAGGUAGCAUAAUCAUUUGCCUUCUAAUUAGAGGCUGGAAUGAAUGGCUGGACGAGGUGUAAACUGUCUCAUUUUAAUAAUAUUAAGAAUUUAACUUUUGAGUCAAAAGGCUUAAAUUUAUUUAAAGGACGAGAAGACCCUAUAGAUUUUUAUAAAUUUAAUAAUUAAAAAUUUUAGUAUAUAAUUAUUUUUUAUUACAAAAUUUAUUUUGUUGGGGUGACAUUAAGAUUAAUUUAACUCUUGAAUUAUUAUUACAUAGAUUAAUGAAUUUUUGAUCCAUUAUUAGUGAUUAUUAGAAUAAGUUACCUUAGGGAUAACAGCGUAAUUUCAUUGGAGAGUUCUAAUCGAUAAUGAAGAUUGCGACCUCGAUGUUGAAUUAAAGAUAUUUCUGGGUGCAGAAGUUCAGAGAAAUGGGUCUGUUCGACCUUUAAAUCUUUACAUGAUUUGAGUUCAGACCGGCGUGAGCCAGGUCGGUUUCUAUCCUUAAUAAAAUACCUUUAUUUAGUACGAAAGGACCAAUUAGGGGAAAUAUUUUUUAGUUUAUUUGAAUAAAAUUAAUUU
RNAcentral lists this ribosomal RNA (1313 nucleotides) under Libelloides macaronius. RNAcentral describes it as "16S ribosomal RNA". The stretch from base 574 to 1313 matches the Rfam family "Archaeal large subunit ribosomal RNA", at positions 1423 to 2812 of the family's 2987-position model. The record is from RNAcentral. Lineage: Eukaryota; Metazoa; Arthropoda; Insecta; Neuroptera; Myrmeleontidae.